This 603-nucleotide ribosomal RNA is filed under the name Arthrobacter sp. HF-2. RNAcentral's name for it is "bacterial SSU rRNA". It matches the Rfam family "Bacterial small subunit ribosomal RNA", at positions 895 to 1491 of the family's 1533-position model. Lineage: Bacteria; Bacillati; Actinomycetota; Actinomycetes; Micrococcales; Micrococcaceae. The record is from RNAcentral.
UAAAACUCUAUGGAAUUGACUGUGGGCCUUCCAAGCGGCGGAGCAUGCGGAGUAAUUUUGAUGCAACGCGAAUAACCUGACCAAGGCUUGACAUGGACCGGACCGCCGCAGAAAUGUGGUUUCUCCUUUUGGGGCCGGUUCACAGGUGGUGCAUGGUUGUCGUCAGCUCGUGUCGUGAGAUGUUGGGUUAAGUCCCGCAACGAGCGCAACCCUCGUUCCAUGUUGCCAGCACGUGAUGGUGGGGACUCAUGGGAGACUGCCGGGGUCAACUCGGAGGAAGGUGGGGACGACGUCAAAUCAUCAUGCCCCUUAUGUCUUGGGCUUCACGCAUGCUACAAUGGCCGGUACAAAGGGUUGCGAUACUGUGAGGUGGAGCUAAUCCCAAAAAGCCGGUCUCAGUUCGGAUUGGGGUCUGCAACUCGACCCCAUGAAGUCGGAGUCGCUAGUAAUCGCAGAUCAGCAACGCUGCGGUGAAUACGUUCCCGGGCCUUGUACACACCGCCCGUCAAGUCACGAAAGUUGGUAACACCCGAAGCCGGUGGCCUAACCCCUUGUGGGAGGGAGCCGUCGAAGGUGGGACUGGCGAUUGGGACUAAGUCGUAA